Molecule: transfer RNA, 75 nt
Filed under: Candidatus Campbelliibacteriota bacterium
Lineage: Bacteria; Candidatus Campbelliibacteriota
Description: Candidatus Campbellbacteria bacterium tRNA-Arg
Rfam family: tRNA
About the family: Transfer RNA (tRNA) molecules are approximately 80 nucleotides in length. Their secondary structure includes four short double-helical elements and three loops (D, anti-codon, and T loops).
Source: RNAcentral
CCUCUAAUAGUUCAAUGGAUAGAACAAGCCCCUCCUAAGGGCUAGAUUCAGGUUCGAUUCCUGGUUGGAGGACAA